CGGGUGAGUAAUACAUCGGAACGUGUCCCGUAGUGGGGGAUAGCCCGGCGAAAGCCGGAUUAAUACCGCAUAUGCUCUACGGAGGAAAGUGGGGGACUCGCAAGGGCCUCACGCUAUGGGAGCGGCCGAUGUCCGAUUAGCUUGUUGGCGGGGUAAUGGCCCACCAAGGCGACGAUCGGUAGCUGGUCUGAGAGGGUGAUCAGCCACACUGGGACUGAGACACGGCCCAG
This 230-nucleotide ribosomal RNA is filed under the name uncultured bacterium. Its description in RNAcentral is "partial 16S ribosomal RNA". It matches the Rfam family "Bacterial small subunit ribosomal RNA", at positions 103 to 334 of the family's 1533-position model. The record is from RNAcentral.